This 1047-nucleotide long non-coding RNA is filed under the name Chloebia gouldiae (Gouldian finch). RNAcentral describes it as "Erythrura gouldiae (Gouldian finch) lncRNA (ENSEGOG00005015139.1)". The record is from RNAcentral. Lineage: Eukaryota; Metazoa; Chordata; Aves; Passeriformes; Passeridae.
CUGGGAUCGAGCUGGGAAUUCCAGCGGCUGCCAGUGCUGCAAGCACAUCCCUGUGACUCAGGGGAGCUCGGGGGUUUGCAUUUUCCUCCUCUCGAAGCCUUUAGGGUUCAUUUCCACACUUUUUCUGUUUUUAAUUCCCUGCAGAACAAUGAGGCUUUCACAACCUGAGGUGAAAAAGCUUUGGAAAGAUGGGUUUGUCCAAGAGGGAGUAUGGAGGAUGCUGGCAAAUAUCCCGACUGCCUGGAGCACUUCUUUAUCCUUUCAUUUUUCCCAAAGGAAAAGCCACCUGGAGCUGCCAGGCAGGAAGAUGCCCUGAGCUUUGCUGAGCAGUGGACAUGCAGCUGGAUGGGCUCUUUGUUGACUGACUCCUUCCUGACACAUUCCUGGGAUCUCCAGAGCUCCAAGGCUGCCUGCAGUGGUCCAGACUUUUCCUGGGAGCUGAUAUGGAGAAUUCCAAGGCUGUGGUGUGGAACAGCCCCGUGCCAUAUCAAUGUGUUGAGGAACGAUGCUCCAGCUGGAAGAACACCACAAAAUUCCCUCUCCCUCAUGUUCCCAGGUCAUUCAUGCACAAAGAGCACAGAUCCAUCCAGAGGUUUCGGGGCUUCCAGGGGUGCCUGCCCGGCUGGGAGUGGAUCAUGCCGAAGGGAGACCUUGGAAGUGCCACGAGCUGGAUAAAACGAUUUGUCGGAAUGCUAAAUUUGGCAGCAGCUUUUCAUCCAAACUGAAGCCACUUUGCACCUGUCUGGGGAGAUAAAGGGACUCGGAAUGAGCGUGAGUGGGAUUUUUCUGCCUGAACUGGAUACAAAGGCUUUGGCACAAAUGAAUUCCAGAGCUUCAAAGCCUUUCCUGAAUGUUUGUCCGCCCCUGUCAGGCUGUUUUAUUUCCCAGGUACGGUGAUAUCACCCAGCAGACCAUUUGCAGGCUGCUCCACUUGCUUUAAGGAGGAAUGGGCAGGCGAGGAUGUGCUGCUAUUCCCUGCUGGAUCAGCUUUUCUGGGACAGAAAUUUAUUUUUCCUCUCUAUUUUUCAAUGCUUUUUUUUUUUUUUU